GUGAUUUUCAAUCUCCCCGAGAUGGUCAAGUUGCUGGGGUUGGGGCAUCGACGGUUUUUGACCGACGUAGAAUACAGAGGCAAAUAAAUCAACUGCUUAAUAACAGGAGGAGACAACUUGUUAAUGUUAAUGGGACCUUGGUUGCUGUAUCGGGGAAUGGUCUCUUUGGCUCCCAAAUUGCUCGAAGCGUAAUGUUAAUGGGACCGUGGUUGCUGUAUCGGGGAAUGGUCUCUUUGGCUCCCAAAUUGCUCGAAGCAGGGAAUUAGUAACUCAACCUGCUGUAGCACAAAGGGCAGUUCCUCAUAAUACAUUUUUCCAGGGAAGGCAACUGGAGUAUAAUGCUCGUUUAUCUCAUAAUCGGAAUAUUUUACCUGAAAGGUCAAGUAAUUUGAGUGGGCAACUGAAUCUGAACGGAGCCUCUACAUCAUCGCAUAGUUUUUUGGGUGAUUUUUUAGAAAGUGAAUUACAAGGUACUGAUGCAAGUAUCAGCUUGGGUUUGGUUCAUCAGCAACCCCAUCCCUGCAGUAGCAGAUCUUAUGUGGGGCCUGAUACUAGCCCAUCUCCUUGUCCAUUUAGAGAGGUGAGCUCCUUUAAUUAAAAAAGGAACACGUAUAAUCAACGGUUAUUAUUGAUUACACUAACUACAAUUUGGUCUAUUGGAAACAACCUCUCUACCUUCACAAGGUAGGGGUAAGGUCUGCGUGCACUCUACCCCCAGACCCUACUUUGUG
Molecule: long non-coding RNA, 731 nt
Filed under: Nicotiana benthamiana
Lineage: Eukaryota; Viridiplantae; Streptophyta; Magnoliopsida; Solanales; Solanaceae
Description: long non-coding RNA (NBEN_LNC021636)
Source: RNAcentral